GAAAAAAUUAAAAAUGUUAACAUACUAUUGAAGUAUACUCAGAUUUUAUAUUAUCAUUCAUAGACUAUAUGAUAUUCUAAGAAAUUGUCUCACAUAUAUAAAACCAUCUAAAGAUUGAAAUUGUGUACUUAGCCAAUAAUAGUUUAUAUGCCUGCCAUAUAGGCCUUAAAACAAAAGAAUUGAAAGAACAUAAAUUGAAAUCUAAUACUCUUAAAUUCUACUAAUGUCUUCAUAAAUCUAGAAAAUUAAAGAUAGAAUCCCCGAACAUGAUGAGCUACCAAGACUUGGAGAAUGAGUUCCAUGCUUCUUCAAAUCAACAUGCUUAAACUUCAAUAGCAGGAACCUAGAGUUGUAGUAAUAUAAAGUAGUGGGGUUAGUACUCUACAUGUACUAAGUAUGGGUAUAUGCACGUAACAUAUAAUGAAAUGCAUGAAAAAGGAUUAUUAAUCGUUUCAUUAGAAAACAUGCUAAGUCAUGUGAAAGUCCUUAAUGCACAUAGCAUGUAUCAUAUACAAGUUAAGGAUUCCAAAAACUUAAAUCAUUAUCAUAAUCAAAGACACAAUACCAUAGAGUCAUAUUUACUUUUCAUAUUCAAUGGAUCAUAUAGCGUAGCAUACAAAACACUCACCAAUAAUCCCAUCCCCAACCUACAAUUGCAAUGGUUAUGUGAAGCCCGAUAACCCUACACAACCAAAUAGAUAAGAUAGGAGACCAUAAGUAAAACUUUGCUUCAUAAAACUUGUAAAAUAAGUAGUCAUCACUUCAAAUAGCAAUAUAAAUCAAUAACAUGUUCAUCAUAAUAACUAACAUCAUAUAAGAGUAACAUCAUGUAUCAUAACAUAUAUCUUUCAUGUCAUCAUAUUAUAUAAGAACAAUACCCUAGGACUUCUCUUAGAGUCAACUUGUGCAAUGUCUAGGUAGAGUCCCACACCCCUACCUAUACUAUGUAGACUACUCAAGUUACCCUAGUCUAUGUUCACGUACUUGUCUUUCAUUUUUACAUGAGGGAAAAUUCUCCUUAACCGACAUAGACCAUGUGAGAUAAACAUGGAAUCCAGUGUCUUCCCAAACCGAAAAGAGUUGGUCUACCGGCCAAAAUAGAACCUACAUGACAUAACUUUCUAGUUGGAUCCACUAGCUAGUAUCCUAUGGUAACAACAUAGUUCAAGAACUAGGAGAUGUAUUAGAGACCCAUAGUUCCACAUUACAUGGCAGACUCAAUCUCAUGAGACCUACCUUCCACUAGGGAAGGGAUACUUCUCAUAUCUAGUCCAUCGGUGCUUAGCUUAAGUCCCUUUUCUUGAAAUAAUAUUUAUAUUUUCUUUCAUCAUAAAAUUAUUAUAGGUAAUAGGAGGUUAACUCCCUUUAUAAACAUCAUGAUGAUCUGUUUAGGGAUUAGAUAAGGAUUUACUUACAUCGCAACCCUUCAUAUGAGAGGUUAACAUAACAUAGUCAUCUUGUGUAAAGCAUACAAGAGAAUAUCAUAACUUGCAUUUUCAUAGUCUUAUCAUGAUAUCACUUUUAACGUUGUUCAUAUCCCAACAUAUACACAUAAAAACAUCAUACAUACUUUCAUAACAUAACAUCAUGAUUUAUAGGCAAACAUAAACAUUGUAAAGUAAUCAUAACUUUAGAAGACUUACCUCUUGGUUCCAAGAACCUUAUUCAUCUUACAAUAUUCAUAAUCAUAUUUAGUGAAAUACUCAAUAACAUUAUCAAGAACAACUCAUCAAAUCAUGUACAAGAUCAAUGCAUAGUGUAGGAAAAGGGAAAUAGGUCGUUAAAGGGUUCAUUCAAGUCUUAAUCACAAUCCUAAUGUUUACACGUUAUCAAAUACUAUAAACAACCCAUUGGAAACCAUCACUUAGAUAAAUAUCAUGUAUUACACGACAUUCAAACAUUAUCAAUCAAACACUCAGUAGUUUGUGUGAAAUUAAUCAUAGAAAAUGUAAACUUUUCGUUAAAAAUCAUAAAUCUAGGGUUAGGAAGAAAAUAUAUUUUGUAGAGUAAAACCCUAGUAUUUGAAGUUCUUGAAAACUUAUAUUGAAAGGACCUCUUCGGGAAAGGAAUCGCAAGAGUGCAAAACACAUACCUUAUAGAUAAAGAAUCCACGAAAAUUUGAUUAGAAACUUCAAACCUUCGUCUUCUUCCUUAAGCUUUUCUCAUUCUUCAAUGGAGUUUUUAGAAGAGUUUAAGUGAGAAACUGAGAGAAUUUUCGUUUGACCUGAUUUGGGACAUGCAAAAGUGGUCUAAAACUGACGUUAUAUCAAUACAUAGUCAUCACAUAAGCCUCCUCUUAAUUGGGUCUUUUAGUAUGUUAAAUUACCAAAAACGCCCCUCCUAAAUUGACUAAUAAUAGGAUAGCAUUUGACUUAGCAAAAUUCUGAAAAAUUACUUAGGGUUCGGGUAACAUAAUUAUUUUUAUAUUAAUUAAUUAAGUUGAUAAUUUAAUUAAUUAAGUCAACUAGGGUAACUACUAAUGUACCCUUAAGUCACUAGGACCAUAACUAACCCCUUUGGACCAUCCUAUGUUAGUUACUAGGAUGUUUCUUUAGUUAGUUACCUGGCUAGUGUCACCCGGUUAGGUUUUAGGAUUUCGGGUACACUAGUUAGAUUAUUUUAGUUAAUACUAGGUUAGUUAGUUAUUUAGGUAAGUUAGUUAGACCCUAGGACUUGUUAGGAAUCAAGGCCCCAUGUGGCUUUACCUGCACGCAGGCCUGCCCUUUAACCUCCCUAAUCGAAUUCGGUUGGGGUGUUGUCGCUUGGUCUCUUGCACAUGUGCUUGCACAUGUGUUGCUGCGCAUUUCUUGUCCAAGGACCCUCACUAUGUCCUUGGGCACGACUUAAUCUACAUGAUGAUUAUAAAUGAUCAUGUGCUAUGCUACCUACGCUUGGCACUUGGAUGCCUCAUACCUAAUGUAUACAACUAAGAAUUUAAUAUUUUAGUUUAGGAUUUUCAUUGCAGGUACAAUUCCUAAACAAGCUUGGAUUAGAGCAUUUGAAUAUCAAAGUAUAUCUUAAUACAUAGAAAUUGGCUAAACAUCGAAGUGUAUUUUAAGUUACUUGUUAAUACAUGGAAAUUGGCUAACACCCUUAAGCAAAUAUUUUCUAACAUGCCCAAUAUUACCUAAUAUUGAGCAUUGGGAUGUUUAUGUACCCCAAUACAUAUUCUUAAAAUCUAAUAGACUCUUCAAUAGACAAGUACAUUUUCAGGAAUGUUAGAAAAUUAAUGAAUCAUCUAUUCUGUACUAGUAAUCGACUGCGUAGCAUAUCUAGACAAGGCAUGAAACUUGGCCUCAUAAGCGAUAAACAUACUACCUCAAUAAAAAUCCAUGAGCUCAUCUUUGUUGCGGUCUCUCAAAGUCCUAAGCACAUAUUUCUCCAAGAACAUGACAUUAAACUGGGUCCAAGUAAGUAGAGGUAAAAAUUAAAAUCUUUAUUUUGUAUAAUCUCUCCACCACUACUUAGCCUCACCUUAAAGCUUAAAAGUCACGAAUUCAACCCCAUGCUGAAGAAAAAUUCCCCACUUAUGAAGCCUCUCAUAGAAAUAAAGGAUGAAAUCAUAUGCAUCCUCACUCUCAAAACCAUGGAAGAAAGGUGGUUUCAACUUCAAAACUUGGUCAACAUCGCAUGUUCAUUGCAAUUCAUAACAUGAACCAAUAAGUGAAAGAAGAAAUUAUUAUUACGUACAUUCUCUCCCACCUCUGGGACAAUGAUAACAACAGGAGAAUUGGCGAGAGCUUGAGUUGCUUGAACAGACAGAAGCACUCCAGGAUCAACCAAUUCUUUCAAGAAUGACAUGAUCUUUUAAGAGAACACUGGGUCAUGUGAGGAAUACAUGUAGUCUUAUACUGCGCCUCUUCCUCUUUUACAACCUCCUCAACAUUUUUAACCUCAACAUUCUCCUCUAUAUCUUCAUUAUUUACGGGAGGGGCCUCAUUUUGGUGAGGAUUUCUUACUGGUACCCCAUCUGUAGUAGGCACCACUCUUCCUAGGCUAACCCUAAAUCUUCCUCUACCUGAUCUCGACUGCUACCUCUCACUAUAGGUUCCUCAAUUGGAGCAUUUACAAGAGCUACGGGCCUGAUGUCAUUGAAUCUAGUGUUUACGUCAUGCAAACAGAAGAGUAAAACACCCACACUAAAGCUCCAAUAGGAGAAACAUUUAUACUAAUUUGCUACCCAACAUAAUCAACAUAGUAAAGUAUUGGGAUAAUGCCCAUGUACCCCCUCAACCUAUGACCGAAAUCUCAGAGGCACACUUAUACUAUACUAAGGUCCUAUUACCCCCUGAACUUAUUUUAUUAAUAAGUUUUUACCCCUUUUUAGCUUACGUGGCACUAUCUUGUGGGCCCAACGAUGGUUGACUUUUUUUUUUGAACUAGUGCCACGUAGGCUAAAAAGGGGUUGAAAAUUACAUAUAAAAUAAGUUCAGGGGGUAAUAGGACCUUAGUGUAGUGUAAGUGUCUCUCUGAGAUUUCAGGCAUAGGUUGAGGGGUACUUGAGUAUUUUCCCUAAAGUAUUUAACAUUACAGAAGCAAGUUUAUAUAAUUAUAUACUAAAGUCCCCAGAAACAUCUAAAAUAUCUAACAACGAAUUGUGAAUUGAAUUCUGAGAACCCAAAAGUCAAUGUAUUAAAAAUUUUAAAAGAUCCAUAAGUCUAAACAAGAAAUGUUACACCACAAACUAAUGAACUCACAACUAACUAGAAAGUUCAAGUCUGAAAUAUGGAAAAAGUCAAAAAGAGAACUCAUGGCGACCUGAAAUAACUCUCACCCUUGAAUUCAAUAAAUAAUCUCUCAUUUUCUAAAUAGAUCUAUCAUAGCUCCAUGAAGAUGUCAUCUACUCAACAAAGAAAGAGUUAGCGCAGUAAUAGUACACAACGACAUUGUACUGGUAGGAUCACGCGGCUAUCCAGUAAGUGCAACAUGUAAGUCAAUACAACAUAAUAACAACAUGAAUACCCCAAACAUAUACAAUAUCAUCAUCAUUUACAACAACAUACAAUUUCACAUUUCUUAAGAUACACAUAUAUGUCAAGUCAAUGGCCCUCUCAUGGAACCAAACUCAUACUAUUAGAAUACCGAAAAGUGGUACCCGAUCUAAUCUUUAUGCCAGAACGUGACACCUGAUCCCAUAUUUAUGUCGGAAUAUUGCAACCUAUCCAAGUUAGCAUGUCAAAAUGCAAUACCUGAUCCAUUCAAAAAGCCACAACCAAAUCACAAUUAUAUUCUCAAGAUCAUACAAUUAAGUCAGGAUUAAUGGCAUUCAUCAUUCAUCUAUCUCAUUUACGAAAAUUGUGGUUAAUAAUGCAACAUUUGCAUAAAUACACAUAUUAAAAUGAAGCAAGAAUAAACAUAUAUCAAAUGAUUAAAUGAAAACCGUCACCUACCUUGAACAGAGAUCCAAUCCCCUAAGAAACUUGAUUCUUCCCACUUGAUGUUUGUUCUUGGUGUAUAAACGAUCAAUAUAACAUUGGAAUCAGUAAACAAUAACUAAUUACCAGAAUUACUCCCAAUUCAAUUAACCCUGGAUCAUACCCAUGAUCCAGAUACCCAUAUUAGCGCUUUCUUUACCAUAAAAAAAUAAAUAUAAAAAAAUUAUAAAAAAAUUACAUCAUAACCUUUCACGUUGAUCAUUAUCCAUUAGAUUGCUUUCUAAGGAUCAAAUAGAUUUGGGGAGUGAAAACCUUACUUUUAAUCUCAAGAAUGGUGGAAAAAUGUCGAGAAAAUACUUGGAUUUGUUCCUAUAUGGUGGCCCCCAGCCCGCCACAAUGGCCUCGCCCUGGUAAGAAUAAUUGUGCCACACUCAACAACUACCCGUUCAUGCUAAAAUAUUUUUGAGAGUUCUACUUGCCUAGAUUAAAUUUCGUAAAGUUAUGCGGGUUUCUUAACAUCUUCCCUAUCUACUCAUGCAAUCAAAUACAUAAUUAGAUCAUCAAUUGUUACCAUAUUUUCCUAUAAUUUAAUGACUCAAAUUUCGUCCAAAUAUUGACUAGGUUGGAAAUUAUCAAGUUACUACGAAAAAGUUUUCUGACCCAAAUUUUUUCACCGUUGGCUUUUUUAUAAUGAUUGAACCCGGUGGUUAAAAAACCCAAACUAAUUAAACUGAUGAAAUUCAUCCGAUAUCAGGAUCUCUGGAGGUUGACUAAGGUCAACAAAUUCAUGUCAUUAGCCUCCAAAAGGGUAAAACUCACACCAAACUCUCCCAACCACCUUGAAAAGUGUGCCACUUAUUCAACCACAGCACUCACACCAAACUCUCCCAACCACCUUGAAAAGUGUGCCACUCAUCCAACAACAACACAAAAACGUAUACGGAAUUUACGGAAAGUGAUAACAAUAAAAGCAUGAAAAAAUACAACGGUUACAUAUAUAUUAAAUGAUUAAUGAUUAUUUAACAUAAAUAUAAGAAAUAAAAUAUCAUUAAGAAUAAUCAAUGAGUUAAAGUAUAUUUUUAAUAUCUCCUAGCCCGGACACAUUAUAAAUAUAGGUGAAUAAAUGGGUUUUUCAUCAAAACGAAAAUCACAACAUUGUUUUCAUCAGUAAAAGAUGAUUUUUUAUUUGUCAAAGAGAUACAAAGAAUUUUUGGUUUGAUCCUGAAUAAAACAUAUUUUCAUUAACAGGUAUAGUCGAUGUAUUUCAUUUUUUGAUAAUAUCAAAGCCUGGAUUUUCUACUUUAUUUUAUUAUUGUAAUUUUUAGUUUUAGAUUUUCUUUACACAUAAGAUAUUCAUCUUCAAAUCUAAGAUAUUUGAAAAGAUCAGUUCUCAUCAUCAAAAAUUUAAAAAGAUAAAAUAUUUCAUUAAUGUGAAUUGAAGAGAGUUUGAAAGGGUAGUAAAGACCCUGUUCAUAGUUUAGGUUAAAAGAAUUUACCCAAUUUGAUAGGUUUUCUAGGUUGAAUUGUAGGAAUAUAUAAAAUGUUGAAUGUUUCACUUUGUGGAAAUUUUACAUAGUUUGAUAUAUUUAACUAUGUUCCAAAUCUUACUGAAAUAAAUAAUUUUGUGGAAGAAACUAUGUUUUAACACCUAUAUGGUAAUAAAUAAAUAUUAUAUUUGUUUCAUUUUUCUCAUUUUAGAAAUGUAUGGAAGGAGACGGCGAAAAAAUCGAAGCAGUACAAUUGUGAGUGGUACUAACAAUCAAGAAAGAAAACAACAUAGAAGACUUCGUCGACGAAGGACAAUAACUAGUGACGAUAUUGAUGGUGAUUCCGGAAUCAUUAGAAAUGUUGUUCCAAGAUCUAUUCAAAAUACCUUACGGGAUCAAAGAGCUUGGAUAAGGGAAGGGAGAAGAAAAUAUGAGGAGUUUAAACAUAUCAAAAUGGACCCAUCUUCUUCCAUACCAGAAUAUAUUGAUUUAUUUAAGACUAAACGAGAAGAGUUGACUUCCCAUUUUAUAUGGGUCUUGGAUCUAGAAGCUUUAUUCAUAUUUAUUUUUUCGCUUCCAGAUCAUUGGAUGACAUUAAUGAUUAGCAUUUAUACCUGUCUUGGUCCAAAUAAGGAUUUUUUGGCAUAUAUGUAUAAACUAAAAGUCAAGUGGAAGCAAAAAAAGUAUCUUGAAGCUAAUAUAAAGAGACAUUGGCUUCUAAGGACCUGUCCUAGGCCUUAUUUUUAUCAAUAUUCUCCUAUAGACAAUCUAGCUAAGAUUUUGGCUGAUAGUGUAAUAAAUCCUCAUCACCUACGUAAUGAGAAAGAUGAUAUGUAAUGUAGACUAGUGAUCAUAUGACUUGUGAUAUUUUGAAUAUUUUUUUUAAUGAAAAUGUGUUCUUUGUCUAUGUGUUUAAUUUUUGUGAUAUUUAAAUGCAAUUAAUAAUAUGGAUUAAGACUUAAUUAAAAACCUUUAAUAUACCACAUACUAAGAAAUAACUUGAAUUUUUGAAUAGUCAAUCAAUAUGCAAAUAAUGAUAGAAAACAUUAAGACCCUCAAUUCUAUAUGAAAAGUAUAGUCAUUAUGAAAUUUGAUUUUCCAGGGUUAGGUGAACCAAUUUGUUUCCCUAAACACCUAGUAAUAGGAAUACAUGGUAGAUACAACAAAUAAUUGGAAAUAAAACAUAAAACAUUAAGGGAACAGUGGAAGAUAAGACCAUAAACACUAUACAUUCAUAUAUAUCAAAUGAUAUCCCACCCAUACCCUAGUAGUCACAUGUACAGACCUACUACGAAAGAGCACAAGUCGCAGAAGUGAACAAAAAAUAUAUAGAAUCGUCUCAAAAUCAAAACACUAGGAAAAACUAAAGAGGAUGAGUUAGGCAUGGUCCAUAAAGCCAUAAGAUAACCCUCUCUCUAAAGGUACCCGUUGCGAGCUCGAUAUCAAUGCAGACAAUUAGUACUCAGACCAGCACUAGGAAAGCAGGUGUGAAAUUCAAUAUGAUUACCAAACAAACAGGAAUAGGAUUUAUAGGCCAACUAAACUUCGGAAGAAAAAGCAAUAAUGAAAUGUGGAAUACGAAGCGACUAAAAUCCAUGGAAAGAAAAUAGUAACAAAAAUCCUAAAUAGGAAGAAAACGAUCUAUUGAACGAACGAACAAUAAAAUAAAUAACUAUGUAAAACCUAAAUCGACUCCAUAAGACAACAAGGUGAACACUUAUUCAAUUAAACGUAAAAAAAUCCAAACAAACCCCUAUAAUCCCAAUGGAUAUAAAAAGAUCUAUGGAAUUACUAGAAGAAGUUGAGAACAUAUCUAGAACUCUCACGUCCUACUAAGGACUUUGACAGCGAUAAAGGCAUCCCAAGAACCCUAAAUAGAAAUUCCCAGUUCGAACUCAAACUAAUUGAGAAGGGUGUGUCUGGACUAGAAAUCGGGGUAAAAUAUGAAUCAGGACAUCAAACCACGACUCUAUAUAUGCGUAGCCAUGAACCCAAAUAAAUAGUAGGUAAGCCAAGGACUUUAAGUUGUCUAACAAGUAAGUGCACAAGGUCCUUAAACCCAUUAUAUCAAGAAGCACAUGGACCUUGAACCAUAAAAAAGUACUCCAAAAUCCCUAAUUUUCUUUUGCUAUCCUAAAACAGGACUACGCCGCAACGGUGAACCUCCUUUAGAAUUGAUAGAUACACACUCCAACUCUAAGACUUGAUACCAAAUAGUUGGAUAAAGACUAAGUAGACCCAAAAAUACGCCCGAGUUCACCACAAGGUUAAAUUAUGGAUAAACAUUUCAUAAGAGUUGAAUAUCUGCAAGGAGCUAAGCAAUCCAAAGUGACGUUAGAGAAAUUGUAAGGUUUCAUCACUAGAACUUGAGCCUAGGGAAAUCGCAGCAUAAACCUAGUCUAAGGCUAUUAAAAACCUAUUUAAGAUUUUUUAAAAAUGAACUACAUAUAGACAACCACAAGUAGGAAUGAUUACUUACAAGAUCAACAUAUAAGAAAUCUUGGAACUUAGAAAUAUAACCUAAAUAAUGAUUUCAGACACAAUUGUUAUGAUAAACUACAAUCCAACUCCAAUUGUAGCAAGUCAAAAUGAAUUUACAAUCGUAAGAUAAAUUAAUAACCGGAAGUCAUAGCCUACAACAUUGCAAACUAUGUGUUCUCCAAAAUUAUGAGUUUUCCCUUUUUAAUAUCCUUCAAUCGAUGAUACACUAUCAAAAACAAAAUCACUAUAUCAAAAUGAAGGUUUUGAUACAUAAUAUCCAACAUUUGGGGAUGGACCCAAAAUUAAAAAAAUGUCAAAAUUGGAACUUGUACUGUGAAUCCAGGAAUUGAGUCUCUCAAAAGGCUCAAUUCAACUCACUGAGAUUGUAUUACAAAAUGGGACAACAUUAAUUGUUGAAAGGAAUCAAACUACAACAUGCAACAAUUCACGAAGUAAAACACCAUUAAAUAACUAGACAGUCUAACUCGGAAGAAAAUUUACACCCACUCAAUGUCCCCAUGCAAAUGUGUGAGCACUCCGAUUAGAAGACCUGCUAAUUUCGAACCUACAACACUUGAAAUCACCUAAAAUGGAGGUAUAAGGAUCUCUAAAAUUGACUUUGAACCUUACAAAUAGAAGUUGAUCAUGCAUGGAGCUAGGCUUGUAAAUGUGGAGGUUUAAGCUCCAUAACUUUCACAAAUGUAGCCUAGGGACAGUGAUUGCGAAAACUAAACCCCCAACCUCCGUGAACGUAGAGUUCAGGUCCAUUAGCCACUGGAAUGUGGCUUGUAAUGCAUGAACUUGAAGAGAAAAAGUGUCUCUACCAUCUUGUAACAAUUUGUAUUAAAAAAUAGUCAAAUUCAAUUUUUCUAGAUAUUGUUGGUACCACACCAUACCGGGCACACACGGCCCGUGGAUAAAACCACAGACCAUAGGUCAGGUAUUUAUUUAUCCUACCUAGCUAUAGUUUCAGGGCAAAGACCUAUGGACAAUCCUACUGACCAUAUGUCAAGCCAUGGCUCGUGGUCGAGUUUUGUGGUUUGAGGCUCAAAAUCUUAGUCUGUUAUGACCAAAUGCGGUCCACCAGGACAGACCCUAGGUUAAACCAUGGUCCUUCGACUAGGAUCAGUCAUUGGUCAUGUGAUAGUUACUUUGGGGGUUAUAUGGGUCUUUUCAUAAUUAUUUAAUUCCUAUACUAUGUUGUUUUACCUAUGUUUAGAACCCCUAUAUAAGCCUUUUUACCCCCAAAUUCACCCCCAUUUAGUUCAUUCUUCUAAAUUCCCAAAAGAAAAAACAAAUCUCCUCAAAAAUAUUCUCUCUCUAGAAUCUUGAAAAGAAGAAGGAUUCAACUAGGGUUUCAAGUUAAGGUCUCAAUUCCUCUAUUUAAGAUAAGCAGUUGGACUUCCGGUAUAGUAUUCUAAAUCUAUGAAUCUUUUUCACUCAUGGAGUCCCCAAAUUACUCUAUUUCAAAGGGUAGAAUUCCCCAAAUUAUCUAGGGCUUUCUUCAAUCACCAUAGGUCUUUUGAUUAUUGAUCUUAAUGAUUGAAUUAAGUACACAAGGUUCUCGAACCCAAGAUAACAAGACGACAUCGACCUUGAACCCUAGAAAGUUACUCAAAAAUCCCUAAUUUUCCUUCACCAACUCACAGCCGAUCUAAGACACAAUGAGGAACCACCACUAGAAGCGUCAGCGACGCACUCUUACUCUAACUCCAAGAGUUAAUGCCAUAUAAUUUUAUAAUAACUGAAUAAGUCGACGAACACACUCGAUUAGAUCAAAAGGGUAAAAUAUGGAUAAAAAUUCAUAAGAGUAGAGUUGUCGCCUAGCUAAGGAUGUAACUAUCAAACCCAUGUGUGCUGUAAUUGUCUGAAAUAGCUAGGAAACUGAAGUGACGUAGGAGCAAUUCUAAGACCUACCAGCUCUAAAACUCGAUUCUAAGGAAAUAGAAGAAUAAACCUAGUCUAAGACUUAUAAAAAGAUAAUCAACAUCACAAAUAAACUAGAACUAGACAACCACAAGGUAAGGCAUGAUCACUUACAAGAAUUUGCACACAAGAAUACCUCAAAAUCUAAAAAUAUGACCCAAAUAAUGAUUUCAAACAAAAUAGGCAUGAUCAAUUUUAAAAAAAAACUCCAAUUGUAGCAAGUCCGCAUGAAAUUUACAUUCGUAAGCUAAAUCUAAAGACCCAAAAGUCGUAGUUGGCCUCAAUGAAAAGUGUGCACUCUAAAAUCACGAUUCUAGAGUUUUUCCCAUUUAACUGGACUUCUAUUGAUUUCUCACUAUAAAAAACAGUAUCAUAAUAUCAAAAUGAAUGUUUAAUAGAAAAUACCCAACAUUGGAGAUGGAUCCGAAAUCAAUAAAAGAAAAUACGAAUGUUGAACCCGUACUGUGAUUCCCAAAUUGACUCUAUCAUAAGCUCCAUUUUACUCACUGAGCUUGUGUCCGAAAAUGAAAUAAAAUUGAAUGUCGAAAGGCAUUAAACAACAAAAUGCAACAAUUCACCAAGUAGAAUACUUUAAUGAACUAGGAAUUUCAAUUUGGGACAAAUUAUAUAUCCAAUCAGUGGCCCCUACAAAUCCAUGAAUACUCCAAUACAAAGACCCGCUAAUUUUAAACCUCAAUACUUGAAUUCACCAAAAAUGGAGGAGUGGAAUCUCUAAAAUUAACUUUUAACCUUAUAAACAGAAGUUGAUCACAUCUGGUCUAUAUCUAAGAGUAGGGGUAUGCAUCGGUCGAUUCGGUUCGAUUUUACAUAUAAUCGAUUCGGUUUAUCGAUUUUCGAUUUUAAAAUAUGCUAACCCAAUAAUAAACCAAUAAGAAACUUUUUAUCGGUUUAUCAGUUUUUGAUGUUAUCAGUUCGGUUUCGGUUAACCCAAUAAGAAAAUAUCGAUCAAAUAAUAUAUAAUAGUACGUAUGUUAUAAUUACAUGUUACCAACUUACCGCCAAAACAUAAUAGAAAACUUUGAAUGUUGAUCAAAUUACUUACAUUCACAAACUUGCAAAAGCUAGCGCUUACAAUUACGAACUAGAAUUAAAACUAAAAUAAAAUAUUUCAAUGAGACAAUCUUGAACAGUUGCUUGAUCCACCAGAUAAUCAAUUAAGUUCUCACCAAUUUCCUAACAAAAAAAUCACAUAGCCUGAAAAGCUAAUAUUGAAUCUAUUUAUGUAUUAAAUUAUGUAUAUUUAAUAUUGAGGAAGGGUAAAGUAGUAAAUAACUAUCGUCUUAUUGGGUUAUCAGUUUACCCAAUAACCCAAUAGGAAAAAUCGAAACCGACCCAAUAACCCAAUAAAUAUUUUUUCUAAACCCAUUAAAAACCCUAUAACCUAAUUCCCAAUAACAAUAACCCAAUAACAUUUUAUCGGUUUGGUUUAUUGGUCGGUACGGUUUUUGCACACCCCCUAUCUAAAAGACUAUACAAAAGAGACCUUAGCAAUGUAGAGCAUGCAUGUAAAUGUAGAGGUUCAACCUCUCUAACCUUCAUAAAUGCAGCCUAGGACCCGCAAUUGCGAACACUAAACCCUCAACCCUCUGUGAAUUCAGAGCCAAGUCAACUAGUCAAUGUGGAUGUAAUAUGUAGUCCAGCAAUGUGAAGAGCGAAGUGGGUGCACGAGUUGAUGCACAUGACAUGGCUUUGCGCAACUUGAAAAUCCCUAAUGGGGUUCUCAAAAAUCGUUGAGCAUAUCGUGCACACAAAUGAUAUAGGCUACACGGACAAAAUUAUUAGUUCCAGUAAGUCAUAAAUUUAUUGGGAUUUCUAUAAGAACACUAUAAAUAAUGAAAAGAAGGCAAUAACAAUAAAAUAAAAGUGACUUAUAUAAAAAAAAUCCUAAGAGUCAAGAUGUACAUGAAGGAUCAAGCGCUCAAGGAAAGUACUCUCGCAUCUUGUGUUCAAUCUCCUAUAGUGCCUCCCCGACUACACGAUACCUCCAAUGGACCUUAACCACAUAAAUGUCUCUUGAGCUAAAAAAAAAGGGAAUGUAUCUUACUAGAAACUUGCUUUUCCACGAAGGUCAAACCAUCAUACAACUUAAUUGAAUCAUACCGGAGCAUAUGAGACUCUUCACGAACAUACCAACAAAGCAUAGAAGCAUGAAAAACCGAAUGAAUAGCUCGAAUGUAGGAGGUAUCGCCAAAUCUUAGGAGUGCUCACCAAUAAUCCACAAAAACUCAAAUGAACCUAUAUAAGUUGUACUAAGCUUGAACCACCUCCUAAAUCGUAUUACAUCAUUCAUAGGGACACUCAAAGGAAUAGUUGAUCACCAAAUCCAAAUCUCAAAGGUCAGCAUCUCAAGUGAGCAUUACUCUUACACGUGCGCUGAGCUAACCUAAGCCUAAACUGAAUAACCCACACAGGAUCUGAGGUAUCUCAAAUAAAAUCAACACCAUGCAACCUAGGCUUAAAAGCCUCAAGCCAACCAAUUGGACAGUGACAAGUCCCACCAUAUAAGGCAUCAAACAUACAUUUAAAUACAAAAGUAAUACAUGUUGUUGUAAAGAAAUACCACCAAAGCUAAGAAUUGGUCUCACUAACCUCCAAAGUACAAUAAAACAAACCACAAUAGAUACUCCAAAACAUGAUGUCUAUGCUUCGGUUGCCCAUCAAUAUGUAGGUGGAAAGUUGCGCUAAGAUCAACACAAGUACCUAACUCUUAUUGAAAUAAACUCCAAAGAGGAGAAGUGAACUAACAACCCUUAUAUGAAAGAAUGGAUAAGAAACCUCGUUAAGACAACCUACUUUCCGUAUGUAGAUAUGACUAAACAAAAGGACACGAACAUGAUAUAUAAUGACAUAGGUUUAUCCACACCUCAAAAUAUCCUUUAUACGAGUUUCAUAUAAAAAUGGGUGACUGGAGCUUCGAACUACAUCACAAAAACAUAUGUCGAGUGUUAUAUAAAUAUCAAAUAAAUGUUACUCUGCGGGCAUCAUAGGUCGACGGAGCUUGAAAAGUAAAAGCAAUAAUGAAAAGUGGAAAAUAAAGCAACUAAAAUCCAUGUAAAUAAUAUAGUAACGAAAAUCCUAACUAAGAAGUGAACGAGCAAUGAAAAGAACAAAAAAUUAAGUAAAUAGCUAUCUAAAACCUAAUUUGAUCCACAAAGCACAUAAGGCAAAAUCAUGGGCAACUUGAAGUAAAAAAAACUCAAAUGUGCCCCCCAUAAGACUGGUGGAUACAUAGAAGAUAUAAGAAACUAAUAGAAAAACUAGAGAACACAUCUAGAAAUGUCAUGAUCUUCCACAGACCAGAAACACAAAAAACACAAAUGAAGAACCCAAAACUGAACCACCAAGUCAUAACUCAAACUCGACUAAAAUGGGUGUGCUGAGACUCGAAUAAAUUCAAAAAUAUGAGUCAGCGCGUUAAUCCGUGACAAAGGACAUAUGCCCUAGACUCUCACCCAGCUAAUAAGUACGUACAUAGGGGCCUCAAACACAAGAUAAAAAAACACAAACUUUGAAUUGUGGAAAAGAACUCCAAAAUCCUUAAUUUUCCAUUGCUAGGUCACAAAUAAUUUAAACCACAUCUCAUAACCACCUCCAAAAUUAAAAAGGAUCCACUCAACUCCAGCUCUAAGACUAGAUACUGAAUGUUGGAUAAAGCCUAAAUUGACCCAUGAACAUGGCAGAGUCGAUCACAAGUGUAAUUUAUGGAUACGUUUCAUAAGAGUUGAGUUUUCACCUAGAUAAGGAUCACACUAUAAGACCAAAGUCUACUGAAACACUCUACAAGAGGAUAAGCAAUUUUGUAGUGAUGUCGCAUCAAUUCUAAGGUAUGUUAUCUUCAAGACAUGAGCGUAAGGCACCACUAGCCUAAAUCUACACUAAACCUAAUAAAAAGAUAUUCACGACCACGAAAUUGUGAGAGAUAGACACCUACAAGGUAAGGCAUGAUCAUGUACAGGAAUAAUCAUACACGAGUCCUUGAAAAUAGGGAAAAUGUCCUAAAGCGUCAUUUCUAACAAAAUAGUCAUGAUAAACUAAAAGAAACCCCCCCCCCCCUUUAGAAAUGCAAUAUGAAUUUACAAUAGUAAGCUCAAUCUAAGGAUCGGGAAGCCGAAGCCUACCUAAAUGCAAACAUCACGCGCUCCAUAAUCAUGAUUUUGAGCUUUUAUUUUCUAAAUGUCCUAUGAUUACUACCAUGCUUUAAAAAGGGGAAUAUAUGACCCACUUUGAGAAUCAUAAUUUGGUUGUGUUAAAAGGUCUAAUUUUAAAAGUUGAUCUUCUGUUCAAAACAAGACAUCAUUCAAUGCUUGGAAGAAAGCAAAAAAAAAUAUGCAAUAAUUCACAAAGAAAAACACCAUCAAAGAACUAGGAAGUCCCCUUUGGGAUGAAAUAUACCUCCAAUUGAUAUCCCUAAUAAAUUCCUGAACUCUCCAAUAUGAAACUCCUCUUAUUCCUUACCCAUGGAUCUUGAAAUCACCCAAAAUAGAGGUGUAAAGCUAUGUAAAAUUAACUUUGAACCUUAGAAAUAGAAUUUUAUCAUGUUUGAUCUUAAUUUAAACUCAAUAGGCUCGUUGAUUACAAAUGUAAGCUUGUAAAUUUCCUUCCCUCGCCUAUUGAUGCAUCAAUUGUUUUGGCUUUAUAUGAUCUUUUAUUGUGACUAUCUAUAGAGCACGAGCUUCUUGAGCCAAAUGGGACUGAUUGACGGAGUCAAUUUUUAAAUUCCUUUUGUGGAUCGCACAAUGACUUUUUGACUCAUUUUUAGUCCCUCACCCCUAAAUUAUUGUAAAUUUGGGUGUCAAAAAUGCAUAUUGUCGUCAUGGUCAUUUAUUUUUAAUGUGACAUUAUUUAUUUUAGUAGGUUAAAUCUCUUUACUAGUAGAUUUUAGAGUAGGUGCAAUUGAUAUUGAGGUAGCUAUGACUUACCAAUCGUAAAUUAAGUUUAUGUUUGUACUUACAUGUGUUUAGCUAGUUAUUGAAAGUUUCUUAGCAUGUCUGAUAUUUAUUAGAUAUAAAUCUUGUCUUAACCAACCUAGGGGGUAAUUUCGAGGGAACUAAGCAUGUUUAUCUUGUUUAUUCUGUUGUAUCAUGCAAUGGUUUAGCUCUAUGCUUUCGUGUAUGGUUAAUUAUGACUUAUUUUUGGACUUAGCCUAGGCAUAAGCUAGUGAUUACCUUAAUUAGAGUUCUAUGUUGAGCUUUUAUGUCUUAAAAAUCCUCUACUGUCGUUCCGGAUGGUUAUAACUUCUUGAAGUCAGGUGUAGCGAGCUUGAGUCUGGUAGCAUAAAUACUUAGAUCAAUCAGAACUCUCCUCUUACUAAAUUUAUCCAUAACUUCCCUAUGAUGUGGCCCUGACGUGUUUGAGUUGUGAUUUUAGGCCUUUUUUGUUACAUUGGAUCAGGACAUUGAUUUGUAGCUGGAGUGGGUCUCUUGUUAUUUAGAAAGAGGUCUAGUUCUAUGAAGUAUUCCUACAUUAUGAAUAAUAUGUGAUUAUGGAAUUCUAUAAAGUGUACUAGCCAAAUUUAAGGUCCGGGCACACUUCUACUAGUCAUUGUUUGAGGCUCGUGCACACUUUCACUUGCCGCAAUUUGAUGUUUGAGCACACUUAUUGAAGCCACAUUUUGAGUCUGAGCACACAUUUAUUAGUUGUAUUGUACUCUUGAUAUGUUUGUUCAAUUGGAUUCUUUAGGGUGUAUUCAUCGUGGUUCAAGAUUGGGGUCGUUUCAACUCUAGAUUAUACUUAGUCAUAGACAGGGAUACCAUUAUCUCAUUUUUGCACUCAUUCGGCUUGUUGGGUCCAUUUGGGUUGUUUACCUUUAAAUUCCACACAUGUGUGCCUUCUGAGAUUAUAGGGUCAAGUUAUGUUUUAGAUAGCUACUUUACUUUACCGCUCCAUUACAUCUAGACUAUUGAGCUGUACAGUUAAACUUAUUGUUAUUGUUACAUUUAUAUGACAUUUUUUACCUACCAUAUAUUUCCUAGAUUAUAUAUUUUCGUUCCGAAAUCAGUCAACCUAUGAUUCCUAGUGGUACAUGUUUUUUUGUACUUAUGCUGCACAUUGUGUCUAUUUUUUUCUACUGCAGAUCCGAGCGUUAGCCGAAAACUUUAAUUGAUGUGCAACAGUGAGGAUAAAAUAUAAUCUUUUUUGAAGAUAUCACACAACAAUUUCUCUUAUAAUGAGAUAAAUGAGGGAAAAAUAUUUUGGUUGAGAAAUAUAGGAAGAGUGAGAAUGUAUCAAUGGGCGAGAAAAAAUAAUUAGGGAAAGAAUCAAUCUACCUUUGUAAGAUUAAUAGUAAAUUAGGAUCUGAGGAAUUUAUAGGAAGAGUGUUGAGUUUUUCAAUGGGUUAGAAAAUUUAUUUGGAGAAAGAAUCAAUUUAUUUAUGAGAUUCAUAUUAAACGAGGUGGAGAAUAAGGAAACAUUUGUUUUGUGAUUUGAAAGGAAAUAUUAAUGCUGGCAUUAUAUCUUGUAAUUUCUUUGUUCUACUUAUUUUUUCUACAUUUUAUUUUCUUUAAAAUAUUUUUGAUAUUUUAUUUUUUCUUAUGCGCCUUUAAUUAAGGUUAAUAUUUCUAGUACUAAUUUAGAAUAUGAAGGCUAAACGCUGAUAUUAACAUUUUCAAUCUAUAUAUAAUAUAAAGGUGGGUAAAAGAAAAGUGAUGUGGCGUCUCUCUUUGACCAAGAAUCCUAUUUAUCUUUUUAUCCUUUCUUUUAGUAACUUUUCCUAUUUAUUUAUUCGUUUCUUGUUAUUAUACAAAUAUAAACUUCUAUAUUACUACUCCUUCAUUUAUUCAUUUCCUUAACAUAAAAACUUAAUUGUAUUUAUUUUCAUCAAUCUUAUGACUUUUUUUUCCAGAUCUCCUGACUUUUGAGUGUCAUAACUUUACAUAUAUUACGAGGGGUUUCUGAAAAUUUCAUAGCUAAUAAAACUAAUUUAAUGAAUGGGUGAACUUCAAUUUUGUAAACUAUGUAACAUUAAUGAUGAAUUUUUUUAAUUAAAAAUCUAUCAAAAAUAUUAAGAUCAAACUACAUAUAUUUAGCUUUAAUGUUCACGUUUAUUUGAUAGAAAGUGAACAUACAAAGUUAAAAGAGACGGAAAAUUAAGUUUAGAGUGAAAUCACUUUUAUGAUUCAAGAUUUCAUGAAAAUUAAAAAUAAAGAGUAGAAUCAAACGAGUUAUAUUUAAAAUAAUUCUAUACAGAGCCUUCUAACUUUUAGUAGCUUUAUGAAAUAAAUAAAUAGGAUUUUCUUAUUAACAUUAAUUAAAUAACUACUUUUAAAUUUUAUUUAAACUUUUGAUCAAAAGAAAAAAAAAUCAAAAGUCAAAUAACACAUUUAGGGGAAUCAAACUUGGACAAACCAGGUUGCAAAUGACAUAGCUUGAGUAGAAUGACCAAAACCACUAAGAUAAGAAACUUUAUUAUUUUGUCAAGAGUGUCCAAAAUGUGUUAUUUAACCAUAUAAAAUAUCAUUUUACUUAUAAGUACAUUGUAAUUUUAUGAAGAGGCUUUUCCCCAAAUGGUAGAUACGUCCUUUGUAAAUUGAAAAAAAAAAACAAUUAAGUUUAUAUUUGAAGAAAUUAUUAAAUGAAGUAGUAGUAAUUGACACAUUUAUUUUUGUAUAAUAAUAAGCAAUAAUAAAAAAAAUAGGAAAAAUAAUCAAAAAAGAUGAAAAUGUUAUUUUUCUUCUUUAUUUUUAUCCUUUUUGUCGAUAAAAACUUUUUUUUUCAUUUAUAGAUGUAAUCUAUUAGUAGAAUGAUUUUUCGGUGAAAUUACAAAGUACAAUUGACAAAUUAAAUAAAGAAAAUAAAAUUUUAUUAUGGUUGGGCCAAAUAUCUCAUUCUCUUUAAGAAGAUUCACACCCACUAUAACAAAUGUUUUCACAAGUACAACAAUCGUUAUGUUCAGUGGUCCCCUUCAUGAUACAACAAUCAAUUCACAGAGUAUAAAUUGUGGACAAAGAAUUGACUCCAAAGCUCCACACAAAAAAAACUCAGGUCAACUAAUAAGAACUCUCAUUGAUUAACUUUUGUGCAUUCUCUAUUUUCUUGUACUCAAACUAAGGAAGGUCAUCACUAUUUAUAGGUAAUGAAUUAAUUCUUGCUUGCAAUGAAUAUGAACAUAAUAGAGAAUUAAAUAAAAAAGAUAAUUGGCCUAUAGGUUACAUAAGUUAAUAACGAGUGAAACACUGAAGUUUAAAUUAAUUAAUUAAUGGACAUGACUUACCAUAUUCAAUCACUGGACAAAAGGAAAUUGAGCCAAGUUAGCAUUAAUAAGGAGUAUAAGUAACAAUAAAAUACCCACAAAUGGUAGGAAAGAUCAGCCACUAAAACAGAUGGGAAGGCACUAUCUUUGUGCUCCAAAAUAAGAAAAUUUUUUGUCAAUUAUUAAUAUUAAAAUGUUAAAGACCAAUAAUCACAUCGCUCGUUUUAAUAUUUUAUAAGUGAGUCUAUAUAACGACCAGUUUCUUCUUUAUAGAAAAGCCAACAAGGAAAAAUAUUGGGUCAGAAAACUUUUUUGUAGUAACUUGAAAUUUCCGAAGCAAGUCAAGAUUUGGAUGAAAUUAGAGUCAAUAACCUCUAGGUAAUCUGGUAACAAUUGGGUGAUCUAAUUAAGAAUUUGAUCACACCAGUAGAUAGAUAAGUCAUUAAGGAACCGAACGACUUCACAUAAAUGAAUUCAGGCGAGUAGAACUCCUAGAAUUGAUCUUAGCGUAAACGUUUUGUUUCUAAAUGUCGUUGGUUGAAACUGUAUUGUGAAAUGGGGUCUUGAAAUUAUUAAUUUUUCUCAUUAGUUCCAUAAAAGACUUUGAGGCGGGAUUUCUACUGUUAGGGCUCGGGAUGGGUACCGCCAUGGCAGGGCAAACAGGACUUAAAGUCGUAAAUAAACCACAAAAGUAUUUUAUUUUGCAAUUUUAAAACUUGAGAGCUAAGGAACGAACACAGGGUUUUCUUGACUGUCUUUUAUCAUUCUUGAUGCUAAAGGUAAAAGUUUAACUCCCGAAUACAUUUUUUGAUCCGUAAAACGUCAUCUAAUCGGUAAUUAUCGACGGAUAAAGGUUUUGAUCUGGAAAUAAUGGUGAAGAAAGCCCUAAUCUUGGUAUGGGGAUCAUGGGUAUGAUAUAGGGUUGAUAGAAUUGUUAGUUAUUCAGGUUAUUAGUUAUUGUUUAUUGAGUUUCGUAUUAUAUUGAUCUUUUGUAGACCAAGAACAAGUGUAAAUAAUCAAGAAAGUGAAGAGUUAAGUUUUUAGGGGAUUCAAGCAUGAUCGGGGUAGGUGAUGGUUGUGAUUAUAUGAAUGUGUGAUGCAUAUUUGUUCUUGCUUCAUUAUUAAAUGUAUAUAUGUGAAUGUUUCAUUAUUGAUCACAUUUAUUAUAAAUGAGAUAAAUAAAUGAUGAAUUCUAUGGAUCGUGAUUUGAUUAUAUGAUCUCGAGAGUAUACUUUUGAUUGUGAUUGUGUCUUGUUGAAUUGAUCGAGUGUUGCGUUCUGACACACUAACGUGGAUUAGUUUCCAUCUUCUAGCAUAAUUAUGGAAUCGAUUGCCACAUUCUGGUAUAAAACAUUGGAUCUGGUACCACAUCAGGGUAUCCUAACAGUUUGGGUUUUGGUUGCACGAGAGGACCAAUGAUUUUUUAUAAUGGUGUAUUUUGAGAAAUGUGAAAUUGUACGUUGUUCAUAAAUUUUGAUGAUAUUAUGUAUAUUCGUUGUACGCGUGUGAUUGUUAUGUUGUAUUAACUUAUAUAUGUCGCACUUAGAGGGGUGGUAGCGUGAUCCUACUAGUACACUAUUGUUGUGUACAUAUACUGCACUUGCUCUUUCUUUGUUCAGUAAAGGAUAUUUUCAAGCGGCUAUUGACAGACCUCGUUUAGAAGAUCAGUGAUCGUCUAUCAAAUUCAAGAGUGAGCCAAUUCUUCUUUCCUGCCAUGAGAUCUUCUUCUUUUUAUGUCCACAUUUCAGACUUAGAAUUUUCUAAUUAUAUAUAGUGUUAUUAGCUUUGGGUUAAGACCCUUCUUGUUAGUCUUAUGGAUCUUGUAAGAAGUUUUGGUACAUUUAUUUCAAGUUCUAGGCGUAUUAUUUCUUCAUUGCUUAGUUCUUAGAUCUUUUGGAAGCAUAUGAAAACUUCAGUUUUUAGUUACUUAAAUUGCUUUCGUAAUUCAAAUGGUUUGGUAUUUGGAUUAAUUUGGUUAGCUAAUUAGUAUAAAUGGUUCUCCCAUAUGAGGGUUAGUGUCGGUGUCAAUCACAAAGGUCUGGGUUGUGAAUAACUUGGUAUCAGAGCCUAGAUUCGUUGAUCUUGAUGUACCAAAGAAAUUCUAGUCGAGUCUUGCGAAACGGUGUAGAGACACCUUUACUUUUCUUCGAGAGACUAUCGGGCUUUAGGAAAUCUCCGUGUUUUCUCCUGUCUCCUUUGUGCUAUAAAUUGAUUCCAAUUGGUAUCUAUCUAUUCGAAUUGGUAUCAAACCUCUUUCGCUUUUCUUUCCAUGAAAGGUUAACACUAUAUUCAUUGCGCGUCUAACUUGUAGCUCCCCUCAAUUAUCUAGCUAAGGAAUCUACAGUGAGAGGUCGCAGUCGAGACAAUGGUAGAUAAAGAGAUAAGGGUAGAUAUUGAGGAAGAAUAACGCCUAAUAGAGAUGCGGUAAUUAUUGAAAGUGCUCCCCAAAACGAGGUCACACCCGUACAUCAUGAAGAGAUAGAGGAAAAUGUUAAGGUUAAAAAUAUUGAGGAGGUCGGACAAGAGGAAGAGGUACAGGCUGAGACAACAUGCAAUCUUUCAUUGACCCAUUGUUAGCUUAACAGAUCAUGUCAUACCUAAAAGGGUUAGUUUGUACUAGAGUGUUACCUUCUGUUCAAGCAACUCAAACUCCUACCAAUUCUCCUAUGGCUAUCACCUUUCUUAAGGCAGGUGGAAUUAGAGGUAAUGAUGCUUUCUUUUGCCCUCUGUUGGGUCCUAUUAUGACUGGUAAUGAACAUGAGAUGUUGACCAAGUUGUUGAAGUUGAAAACUGCCUAUGUUCCAUGGUUUUGAGAGUGGAGAAACAUAUGAGUUCAUCCUAGAUUGUUAUGAGAGGAUUCAUAAGUUGGGAAUUGUACAUCAGCAUGGGAUUUGGUUCGUGACUUUUCAACUUCAAUGAUAAGGUUAGUAGUGCUGGAGAUCUUAUAUAGAAUGCAGAUAUUCAAUUUUACUUCACUUACUUGGACCAGAUUUCAUGCUCUAUUUUUGGAGAAAUAUAUGCCUAGAACUUUUAGGGAUAGUAAGAAGGACGAAUUCCUGGCUUUUGAGGAACGUGGUAUGACUAUGGCUGCUUAUGAGGCUAAGUUCCAUGCUUUGUCUAGAUAUUCUACUCAAUUGGUGAAUCUUGAGGAUGAGAGAAUUUUUUUUAUUUAUUAAGCGAUUAAAUUCUCAAUUGCAGGUAUUAUCUAUUGAUAUUACCUAUUAAGGAAAGAGCUUUAAUAAUGUAACUUUGCUAAGAAAGUGGAAGGGGUGACGCGAGACGGUCAGGUUAAGGCAUUAGAAAAAAGGGAUAAAAACUUUGUAACUUACAAGGUUUAUACUCCAAAGGGGCAGGGAGGCCAACACUUGUAGCUAGACCAAUUCAGUCAACCAUGCCCCGCCUAUACAAUCAACUACUCGGGAACUCUACCUCAUAAUUUGAUAUAGGACAAAUAGGGAGUCUCACCUUUGACAGGAGGCUCACCAUCAUUUCAUCGUACGUUCUAAGAUUAUGGACAACCUGGGAUAUACGGAGAGAUUAUCCCAACCCACGUGUGUUGGAUUAGGUGCAGAAAUGGACUAGAAUAGUGGUACCCGCAAGAAUUGGUAUUAAUAGUCAAGAAAGUCCACAUGGUCGGCGAGGAGAAAUCAGAGAGGCUACGGAGGUAGAGGAAAUGGUAACACAGGCAGGGGUAAUGUGAAACUAGCCAGGAAAGUGACAAGACAUGAAGGUAUGGUUGAGUGUUAUGCUUUUUCGGGAAAAGAUGAGGCAGAGGAGCCUGACGCAGUGAUCAGAGGUAUUAUUCUUGUCUGUGACCGGCUGGCUAAUGUGUUAUUUGAUCUGUGUUCUAAUUAUUCUUAUGUAUCUGUGCGAUUUUCCUCAAAGUUUGACAUGAUUUGUGAUAUACUUUAUGCCCCUAUACAUGUUUCUACCCCAGUUGGAAAGUCUUUCAUAGUCACACAUGUCUAUCGUGCUUGUCCUAUUUUGUUUAUGGGUUAGCAAACUUGGGCUGAUUUAGUUAUUUUUCAUAUAAUUGAGAGUGAUAUAGUCUAAGGCAUGACUUGGUUAUCCUGCUAAUAUGUUAAGCUUAACAGUAAUACUAAGUAUGUAACUCUAGAAAUUUAGGGAAGAGAAAAAUUAUAGGUGGGAAAGGGUGUACAAGCCUAAGCAUGCAAAUAUCAUAUCCUCAAUUUGGGUUAUAAAAUUGGUAGUGAAGGUUUUUUUUUUUGAUAAUUUGGCUCAUAUCCCAGAAGUUGAGGUUGAGUCUCUAUCUAUUGAAUUCAUCACACUGGUGUCAAAAUUUAGAGAAAUGUUUCCUACAGAUUUGCCUGGUAUGCCAUUGGAUAGGCAUAUAGAUUUUUGCAUUGAUUUAGAGUCUGGUACUCGUCCUAUUUACAUCCCUCCAUAUCGCAUGGACCCAAUGGAAUCACGAGAUCUUAAGGCUCAAAUCCAAGGUCUUCUUUAUGAAGGAUUUAUUCAUCCUAGCACUUCUCCAUGGGGUGCUCCAUUCUUGUUUGUUAAGAAAAAAAUGGUAGUAUAAGAAUGUGUAUCGCUUUCCGGCAAUUGAAUAGGGUCGCUAUUUGAAACAAAUACCCUUUGCCUCGUACAAAAGAUCUUUUUAACCAAUUUCAAGGUGCAUUAAUUUUCUCCAAGAUUGAUCUAAAGUCCAGCUAUCAUCAGUUAGUAUUUGCAUUGGUUUUAUCAUAUCUGUGGUUAAAUCGAUCUUUAUGACUUGUAUAAUUGGUUUUAUCUCAUCAAAUAAUAUCUCUGCUGGUGCGGAAUAAAACUUUAUAUAAAAUAAUGUUCCUUUAGAAAUUCUUUUAUAGUUCAUAAAGGCUUUGUAUAGCUCUGGUAUUGUAGAUAUUUCAUCUCCUGUUUGGGUAUAAACUGUACUAAGCAAUCCAUAACUAUAACAUGUUUUUACUAGAUUUGCAUUAGUACCUGGUUGUGCUAUUAACUUAUUAUAUCCUUGUAGCUUUUGGGUUAUAAAAUCAGUAUUAGGGUCUUUGGUAGUUGGAGAUUUCGGUGUUGAGUUUAAAUAAUUUUGAAUUUUAUAAAGGUUCUCAAUAUAUGAGCGGGUUAUGUGGUUGUAGGCUUUUUUUUUAUCUUGGCUUAAACUUUCUGAGUAAGUAGUUAUUUGUGGUGGUAUAAAUAAUGAGUUUUUUUGGUUCUUUGGAAUAAAUGAUUUAUCGAAGAUUUUGUUUAUAUUUGAAUUUAAAUAUCUUAUUUCACUGACUCCUUUUGUUGUAGAUGUGCUGGUUGUAGCUGCAUUUAAACAAACAUUGUCAUGGAUUUUAUGGAGUUUUCCAACGUCUCCUUGUAGCUCUGAAAUUUUUCUGUCUUCCGAUCGACAUAGCUCCGCAUUUUUAUAGUCAUGCUGCUGACUUAUAUUUUUCAUCUUUUGUAAUUCUUUAUCCAUACUGUCCACUUUCGUAGAAAGUGUAGUAAUGGCUUUGAGUAUUUCUCCCAUUGUAUAUUUUUCUGGUUCAGUUUGGGUUCCUUUUUCUUGAUAGGUAGUCUGCAACAAGAUUCUUGUCAGUCUUAAUUACUUCAAUUGUAAAUGUAAAAUUUAAUAUAUUCAAUACUAAUCUCCUUAUUUAUUUUGUUGUAACUGAAUCUUCUACCUUUUUUGUUAUCCACCAUUUUACCUGUGUAUUAUCUGUUCUUACAAUAAAUUUAUUGUAAACAAUACAUAGUUCAAAUGCUAAUAAACAUUUAUAUAAUGCAAAUAACUCUUUUCUAUUUAUUUCCCAUUUUAUUUGUGCUUCUGCAUAAGAUCCUGAAUAAUAUCUACAAUUGUGUUCUAUUUUUUCCUUUUCAUAUUUGUAUUUAUAACUCCUCCAUAACUAUGAUCACUUGAAUCUGUUUCAACAAUAUAAGUAAAUGUUUUAUUUUCAUCAGGAAAGUAAAGUUUUGGUAAUUUCUUACAUAAAUUCUUAAUAUUUCUUAUAUGUUCUUUAUCUUUAUUGUCGAAAUAGUAUUCUACAUCUUUUUUAAGUUUUUUGUGUAAUGGUUUUAAAUGCUCUGCUACUUUUGGUAUAUAUUCUCUUACUUGAUUUACUAAUCCUAGAAAGGAUUGUAAUUUCUUUUUUGUAUCUAUAUUUUCAUCAAAGGUGAUUAUUUUUUGUACUAUAUGGUUUUGCAUUUUUAUUCCAUUCCUAUCUAUUUGUAUUCAUAGAAAUUCUAUCUGUGGUUUCAUAAUUUUUGCUUUCUAUUUACUUACACUUAUACCUGAAUGUUUAAUUAUAUGUAUAAAUUUUUCUAAUAAUCUUAUAUGUUCAUCUUGUGUUUUAGAAUAUAAUAAUAUAUCAUCUAUAUAUACAAUACAAUUUUCUAACUGGUUAAAAUAGUUAUCCAUAAAAUGUUGAUAUCUACCUGGUGCAUUCUUAUAUCCAAACGGUAAUACAUUCCAUUCAUAGAAACCUUGCGGUACUGUGAAUGUUGUUAGCUGUUUAGAUUCUUCUUCUAGCUUUAGGUGAUAAAAUCCUGAUUUAUAAUCGAAUUUACUGAAAUAAUUAUAUCCUUGUAUUUGUCUUAAUUUUAGUAUUUUAUUUGAUAUUGGGUAGUUAUAUGUUUUAGUUGUAGCAUUUAAGUUGCGAUAAUCUAUAACCAUUCUGCUUUUACCUCUUUUUUGUUCACUAUGUUUUAUAACUAUAAAUGUUGGACUUGUAUGUUUACUAUUGCUUUCUUGUAUGUAAUUAUUUUCUAAUAGUUCAUCUAUAUGUAUUUUGAAUUCUUUUAAAUCAUCAAAGUUAUAUUUUAAUGGUUUCUGUGUUAUUAUACUAUUUUCAUCUAUUAGUUCAAUUUUUACUUUUGUCUUAUGUUUUUCCCAUCCUUGUAAUGGAUCUUCAUUGUAUAAUUGUUCUAGUUGUUCAUUAAUUAUUCUAACUUUGUCUAUUAUAAAUAUGAUAAUCUCUAAUUGUGUUAUUUGUUUCUUAUUUAUAUUUUCCAUUUCCUAUCUAAAACUUCCGGCAUAAACAAGACCCCAAAAGAGCUGGACCAAACCACAAGAACCUAUGCAUAGUGUGUAAGAGACUAUUCCCAAGUCUUAAACUUGUGGCAUUUUCAUCACGUGAUAAUAACUUUACCAGUUACUUCAAAUCCGAUCACUCCCUCUAAAAUAUCUAAAUUACUCAUAACAUAACAUCUCCAAAAUGCUUUUUCUUUUGCUUUUUUUUAUAAGACUAAAAAUAUCGAGGAAAGACAAUGUGCAUUCUAUAGGUUUUCGUUGUUUAUUAUUUAGUCUUUUUGCUCCUAUCUUGUUUCCGCAUGGUGUAGUAAACCACCAAUGUGUUUUUGUUAUUACAUGUGGGUAAAAUCUAUCUAGAAAUGACAUUCCUAAUAACAUGUCUUUUGUCGUAAAUUCAAAAUUGUACAUUUCUUCUAUUGUUAAUAUUUUAUCCCAUAUUUGCAUUUUUAUAUUUUUUGCUUUGUAUUUAAUCAUACUUCCUUCAUUAUUAAAUCAUGUUUCUACCAUAGGUGUUUUUAAUUUUUCCCAUUUAUCUUCUGGUAGACAAUUAUAUUUACAUAUAUUCGCUUCUGAUCAUGUAUCUAUCAUAGGGGUAUAAUAUCUGUUGUGAUAUCCUUCUACAAUAAUUUUUGCAAGUAUAAAUAUUUUCAUUAUUCAUUUUGUUCUUUUUAUAAUUAUUUUCUUAUUUUGGCAAGUUAUUGUUAAUUGUUCAUUUUCUAUAUUAUACGGUUUAACUUUUUCUAACCAUUUUACACCCAAUGUAAUAUUAUGAUUUCCUUGGUAUAUUUUAAAUGGUAUUAUUAAGGGUAUUCUUCCUAUAAUUAUUUCUUUUUCCGUUGUUUCUUCAUUUAUGUUUACUAUCUCACUAGGUAAUCCAGGGCAUAUGUGUCCUGUUUUUAUAAUUUCUUCUUCUAAUACUAACUCUCUUGUUAUGUAAUUUUCUUCUUGUCUUGUAUUUAUCAAAAUUUUAUAUUUUCUUUGGUCUAAUAUUCCUGUUAUGAAAUAAUGAUAUAGUGUUAUUUCUUCUCUAUCUAAUAAAUUUUGUGGUAUUUCAUAGUUUCUUUUAGAUGUACUCAUUCUUGAUGAGAUAGCUCUUGUUAACGUAUUUGGUACGCUUGAAGUGCUUAAUCUUUCUUUAACAAUUUCUAAAUCUUCUUCUAUGUCAAUUUCUUUAUAGCUAUAGUCAUUAUUAUUUAUUACAGUAAUUCCUUUUUCAAAAGGAUUUUCUAUCUUUAUUUUAUCAAUUUUAUUUCUUGUUGUUAUUUUAUGCUUUGUUGUCAAUAUAUAUAGGUUUUUACAUCUUGUUGUAAAUACUUUGUUGUCUGGUGCUAGUUCUAUUUCAGACAUUUUCCAAUAUAGAACUAAUGAUUUAUCUAUAUUUCUAUCUGUUAAAUGCUACUGUAUAAUUGAUGCUUAUUAUAAAUUUAAAUUUUUGAUAUAUUAGGUUUCCUUUUACUGCACUAAUUACGUUUUUUUCUAUAGGGUGCAUAAUUUUAUCAUCUGCUAAAUAUAUUUCAAUAGGUGUAUCUAUUCCUUCUCUAAAACAAGCUUUUAUUAAUAUUUCUGUUCCCCCUAAAUGUAUAUAUUUUAUUGGUGUUUUAGCUUUUAUAUCUUGUAUUUCUUGUUUUAUUAUUCGUUUACUUAGUAUAGGUAUAUGUGAUUUUCCUCUUGUAUAUUUGCAAUCUAUGAUAUGUUCUUUCUGACUAACUACAUAGUAUUUUUCUUUUUGUCUCUUAAAUCAAUUUCUUAAAGUAGGUAUUUCAAGUAAUUUUUCAACACUUAAAUUUAAUUCUUUUCCUUUUAUUUGUUCAAAUAUUGUAUUAUCAAAUAUAAUUUUUUGUUCUGAUAAUUCUUCAUUUUGAUAAUCUUCUUUGGAUAUUAUUUUUAUAUCGUCUUCAGACAUUAUAUUUCUUCGUCUAUUAUAUCAUUAUCUAGAUUAAUAUAUUCUUCUUCAUUUUCUGUUUUUAUGUCUGAUACUUCAUAUAUACUAUCAUUUUGACUUAGUUCAUAGUCUAUAUAUUCUAUUUGCAUAUAUUUGUCACUAUCUAUAAUUAUUUCUGCAAAUUUGUUUCCUUUUAGGGUCUAUUGGUAACUUACAAUCUCUAGCUAUGUGUCCAAUCUUUCCGCAAUUAUAACAUGUACAUUGGGAUAUUUUUCUUUUUGGUCUAUAUGAUCUUUUCAUUUUAUAAUUUUUUACAUAAUAUCUUUGACUUGGUUUUUUGUAUUUAUACAUAGUUUUGAUUUUUCUAUAAUUUUUAUAUUGCCUAGAUUUUUUCUUUUUAUAAUUUUUAGUUAUACAUCCAAACUGUGGUGCUGUUUUAUUUUUACAACUGGCUAAAUUUUUGUUUAGUACUUUUUUCAUUUUUCAUUUUUCUUUUUGGUUUUCACAUAGUUGUAUGAACCAUUGAUGUAAAAAAUUUAUUCUUGCUCCUAAAGUAUCUACUAAUCCUUCAUCAUUCCAAUCUUUUAUUACUUUUGUACUAAAUGGUUUUGGUAAUUUCGUAAAAUAUUGUUUUCUUAUUUCUUUUGCUUCAUCAAAAUUGUAUUUUGCUUUGUAAUAAUAUGCUUUAAAUGCACAAGUGUAUUCUUCUAUAUAACACAUUUUACAUAUAGCUAAUUUUGUCAUAAGUUGCCUAUUUAUUGUUUUUUCUCUAUUUUGUUCUCUUAUAUCCGUGGUCAAAUGUAACGACCCGUUUAGUCGUUUCGAGCAACAGACUUCAAUUCUGGAAAAACAGGCUGAGGCGACCGACCAAACGACGAUCCGUCAUGGGCACGACGGACCGUCGCAGGGUCUCAUUUCAAAACACUUAGAAAAUCUGAAAUUGGGUACUAAAAAUCGACUCUCUGAACUUUGUGACGGAAUGGCAGGACGGACCGUCACAGGUGUGACGGACCGUCACAGACCCUUGGUGGAAAUUUGGGUCUCUGAACUCUACGACGACCUGCAGGACGGACCGUCGCAGGCACGACGGCCCGUCACAGGUUGCGCAAAUCCCAGGCAGAGUCGGAUUUCUGGUUAAGUUUUAAGGAACGUUUUUGACUAUUCUUGCCUUAAUUAUAAAGUUCGUGGAUUUAUAUUAAUAACUCAAAUUCUUGAGGGGUUAAAAGAGGUAACCCUAAGUUAAUUAGUGGGGUAUUAUUGCCAUCUUUUAUUCUUAAUUAUAUACUAAUUAGGGUAAAAGAAAGAGGGUUGGAAUAAAGAAAAUAGAAAGAACAAGAGAGAGAGGGAGAAUCGAACGAGAAGGGAGAAACAAAGCUUGGAGAAAGAUUUGCUAGCUUGAUCACUAAUCUUCGGUGGAGGUAGGUUAUGGUUUUCAUGCUUUCAUAGUAAACUCUUAAUAGAGAAUGAUAUGUAUUGGUAGUAUUGUAAACCCUACUAUAUGCUUAAUUGUAUGUUUGCGUGAAUAUGAUUAUAUGAUUGUGAUAAGAUAAGCAUGAUGAAAAUAUUGAAUCCCAAAUCUUGAAAGGAAACUUUAAUAUACAUCAUUAAUGAUGAUGCAUUGGUAUAGAAGAAGGCUUGAUGAAUUAAAGUAAUGGGAUUGAUGAUGCCUUGGUAUAGAGAAGGCCUGAUGAUUUACAGAAUGAUGUAGGGGAUCGGGUGUCACGAAACGACACGUAGAAUUAGGGGAUCGGGUGUCACGAACCGACACGUAGAAUUAGGGGAUCGGGUGUCACGAACCGACACGUAGAUAUAGGGGAUCGGAGUGUCACGUACCGACACAAGAGGAAUAAUGAAUAUGAGGGAUCGGAGUAUCACGUACCGACACAAGAGAAUUAAAGAUAAUGAAUCUUGAAAGAUGUUAAUAUACUCAAUCUAACGAACAUAAUUCCCAAAUGAGUAUGGUGUUGAGGCUUGAGCCCUCAUGGAUGAACUUGUUGUGGCUACAUGUUGAGUUUUAUAGUUGAUUUACGAUAAUAUUGAUAUAUACUGUUCCCUAUUUUGAGUUGGCCGAUGAUAUCUACUCAGUACCCGUGUUUUGUACUGACCCAUACUUUUAUGUUUUCUUCUUGUUUAUUUGUGGAGUGCAGCAAACGUGUCAUCGUCUUCAACUCAACAGUAAUUCAAGCCAGUCUUACUACAUCAGAAAUUCAGGGUGAGCUAAUGCUUCUAGCUUGGACUGGAUCUUCUUCUUCAAGUUUUGAUGCCUUGAACUUCCGGCAUGGACUAGCUUCUUAUGUAUUUUUAGCUUUUAGAAUACUCUUAGUUUAGUCAUUUGAACGUAGAUGUUCUUGUGAUGAUGACUUCCAGGUUUUGGGGAUGGUAAUAAUAGUUUUGAAUUGUUUUUAUUAAUGAGUUUAAGUCUUCCGCAUUACUUUCUGUUGAUAUACGUUGAAAUGUUAAGUGUUAGAUUGGUUGGUUCGCUCACAUAGGAGGGUAAGUGUGGGUGCCAGUCGCGGCUCGGAUUUGGGUCGUGACAUCAUACCACCAAAUUCGUUUCUUAUUGCUGAUUCAUAUUUAUCUAGUAUAUUUAUAUUUGUUGUUGAUGGAGAUCCAUCUAUUUUCUUGUCACUUCUAAGUACUUCUAAACUUUCUGAAGGUAGAUUUUCUAUCCAUAGUCUUGUUGUUCCUACAAAUGUUCUUUCUAUAUACCUUGGUGUUUUUGUAGUUUUUAUUUUGUUAUCUAUUAGUUGCUUAGAUAUAUUUCCUAUCCAUAGUAAUAUUGCUUUAUUUAUAUCUGUAACACAAUCUAGAUCUAAGAAAUUAUAUUGUUCGUUUAUUGGUUUUGGUAUCCAAUUUUUAUUUAAUCUACUAUUCCAUAUUGCGUUAGUUCUAUCUGAUUGCUGAUAACUUUCUGUAUAAUAAGUUGGUGGUGUCCAUCUAGGACUAAUUCUAGGACUAUUUCUGGGACUAUUGUCUGGAGUUUUAACUCUUGACGUACUAGGUCGAUUCAUAUCUCCUGUGUUUAUUUCUAGUUUUUUCGGUUUAUUUACCUGUUCUAGAAUUUCUGUGUAUGUCUCACUUAUAUCACUUAUUUUUGAUUUUUGGUCAUUUAUUGUAUCUGAUUCUUUUUCGUCUAUUUCAUUUAUUUCAAGGUCUCCAUUUAGUUUUUGUUCCAUCUCUUUUAUUUCAUUAGUUAAUUCUAGUUCUUUUUCCUUUUCUAUCUGUUUCUCUUUUUGUUUAGUUUCAUAUAAUAAUUUUAACCUAGCUAAUUCUUUUUCUAAAUCACUUAUUCUUGUAUUUUUUAUUUCUUCUAAAUGUUGUACUUCUUGUUUUGCUAGUAUUUUUAUUUUUUCAAUUUCUUUUGAUUUGUCUAUUUCUUCAUUUUCUUUUGUUAUUCUUAUCAUAGUUGUUAGACUUAUCUUCUAAUUUUGUUGUUUCUUUUUCUAAUAUUAAAUAUAAAUUAUUUACUAUUUUUUUAUAUAGUCUUCCUAGGUUUUGAAAAUAUUAUUUUUAUUCAUUAUAAUUUAUAAAUUAUGUUAUAUUGUAAUUUAUAUUCAAGGUGAUCUAUUUGUAUUUCUAACAUAAAUAUAACUUUUCUUUGUGCUAUUAUUGAUUUAUUACAUACUCCUGCUAACAUGUUUUCUAUUAAUCUUUCUUUCCUCUGUUGUAGUUCUUGUCUUUUUUCAUCUAUUUUUCUUAUCAGUUGUUGCCUAUAUAUUUCUUUGUUCAUACUGUUUUUUCAAAUAAGAAACAUAUUUGUAUUCUGUUUUUGAAAUUAUAUUUAUCAAAUAAUUUGUCUUAUCGUUUUUAGUAAGUUGUGAUAGUUCAUAUUCUAUGUAUAAGGGUUUUAAUUUUUUCAAUAUCUUUCGUACUUUUUUAUUUAUCUUGGUUUUUGUUAUUUUAGUUUCUUUGCUUGUUGUAUUAUUCAUUUAUAUUUUUCUCUACAAAAUUUUAAAAAGUUUACUUAAUUUGUUUGGGUCUUUAAUAAAUUUUAUCUUAUAAAUAUUAUUACUUCGUUUUUUGUCAAAUUUCAAACCUUUUUGAUUUAAUCAUUAUAUUUCUAAUUCUAUUUUAUCAUAUUGAUCUAUGUUUUCAUUAGCUUUUACCCAAUAUAUACAUUUUAUCAUUGAUCUCUGAAUAUCUCUAGAUCAUCAUAUAAAUCAUUUAUGUCAAAAUAAAAAUCAUCUUAAAAUUUAUCUUGUAUAUCUAAUUCAAUCCAACCUUGGGUUGUUAUUUCUAUUAUCUCAUAUGUUACUAAUAUAUCAUAAAUUCUUCUUUUUAUAUCUGUAUUAAGACCUUUUAGUAUAUAGAGUAUUAAUAUCUUGUAAUUAACAUCAUCGUCUAAUAAAUAGGAGUUCAUUUUAUUCAUUUUUUCACUUAAAAUUUUAUUCCUUCCAACCUCUUAAUAGAUUAUACUUAUUCAUUUUUGUAAUAAUAAUGGUUUAAUAAUCAUCUCGUCUAGUCACUACUACAAUUUUCUUCUUUGAUCAGUUACCCUAAUAGCGCCUCAACUUUGUUUACUCCCCUAAACGGCCUUCUUGCCUAUUGGUUUCAACCUUAGGAUGGUAUAGUCUGAGCAUACUUAUUCACAGAAUAUUUCUGUAGCAAACUUUCUAAAGAUGGUUAUUAUAACAUUAUUAAAACAUGAUAAAUAAUCAUAAUCAACAAGAGAUUAUCAAGAAUAAAUAGAUUUAGCUACCCAUGAACAUAAACGAAUAUACCUAUUCUUGUAGAUUUGUUAUCUCUGAAUUUUUCAUAUCUUAUUUUUUGUAAACUAGCUCUGAUACUAAUUUUGGGUGGAAGCGGAAUUAAGAGUGAGAGAGAGAGAGUUGUAGAGAAAAAGAGAUCAGGGAUGAUUUUAUUAUGAGGGAGAACCCUCCAUUUAUACAAGAAAUUUUUAACAACUUGGCCAAAUGGCCGACAGAACUUUACAUUUUACUUUUACACCUGGCAAAAAAAAAGUAUUUUGUAAUUUUAUGUCUUUAUUAAAGUAGUUUGCCGUGUAGUGUCGGCCAGAAGAUAAGAUGGCCAUAUGUAAAAGUUAUGUCGGCCAUAUAAAAAGUAAAGGCCAAUAAGUGUAAAAGUAUUUUGUUUUCUUGUGUCGGCCGAAUAUAAUAAGGCCAGGUGUAAAAGUAAAAUGUAAAGUUGUGUCGGUCAUUUGGCCAAAUUAUUAAAAAUAUCUUGUAUAAUUGGAGGGUUCUCCCUCAUAAUAAAAUCAUUCCUGAUCCCUUUUUCUCUACAACUCUCUCUCUCACUCUUAAUUCCGCUUGCACCCAAAAUUUAGUUAAAUACGCUUGAUCAACACAUGAAUAUGAAUAAGUUUCUUAUGGAACAACUUUAUUACAUGAACUAAAGUAUGAAAGAAUGGAAAUCAUCUCUUAAGGCCCUGUAGGCCUCCUGAUUAUAAAUGUAGUCCACCACACACCCGUAAGAAAAAGCACUAAUCUGUAGACACCCUAGGACACUUGAACUAUAUUCUCAAAUACCAUGUCGGGCAAACCUCAAGACUACACCCUGGAUGUUGCAAGCACUCACAACUAUGUUGGUUCCAAGGGAAACCUUGACCUAGAUGACUACUGAGCUAAAAAUUAUGCAUACAUGUGUAAGACUUAUAAAAUAAAGAUCCAAAGUUAUUUAAAGAUAUGUCUCAUUCAAAAAUGUCAAAUAAAUCGCAUAUAAAUAAUUAAAAUUAUAAUAAUGUUCUAAAACUUGUGAAUACUAAAGACUCAAAACUAACUCACUAAUUUUGUCUACCUAUGAAGCAUCUACUAACUGAAGAUAUGUGUCGAGACAAUACCCACAUCUACCUGACUAUUCAACUAACAAAGACUAAAAUCGUGCAAUAAUUCCCAUACUAAUAUAUAUGUUGAAUUAGUGCUCAAAAAGACCUUUUUAUGAUAUUAUGAUCUUUAUUUUAUUAACUAAAACUACUUCAAAAACUAUUUAUGCUCUUCCAAAAUCUCAAUUGAAAACACUUCAUUUGGAACAAUUAGUUUUCCCUUACAAACUCUUCUCAAGUGAUAACUUUAAAUACAUGAAUUUAAAUUAAUUCAGAAGUCAAUACAUUAACAUAUUUGGGCAAAAGCUUUCAACAAUUCUUAAAUAAAUAUGAUUCAUGUGAUAAAAUUAGCAUGAAUAAUUAUUCAAGAACUAAACUACAUGAAGUACUAAACUCUAAAUGAAAGGUGACAUCUUUGGAGGAAAAUAUGGUAAGAAUUCAUUUCUUAAACCUUAGAGGUUGGUUUUCUUGGAACACUUAUAAAUUUAAUGGGUAGAUGAUGUUAGUUGGUGUUAAAAUUAAGAAAUUAUAAAAUUUUAUGAUCAAAUCUUACCCAUGAUGACGAAUCAACCUUAAAAGAAGCUAGUUUAUUGCGUACUUCUCUUUCUAGGAUAAACUUUUUAAGUAGGGAGGUCGACUAAGUCUUUCGGAUUUCUUAUUAGGCUAUUGCGACUCACUAUCUCACAAAAAAUGUAUCAGGUGUGCGGCCAAUGUGAUGGAAGUCAGUAGCAACUUCCUCGCCAUGCUAUCCCUCGGAAUAUACCUCGGGCGCGCAGCCGGUGCACAACUGGAUAGUGUCCAGUAAAAAGAACAUAACUUUUUAUUCUAAACUCCAAUUGAUGAAAACUUGGUGGCAUUAGAAAGAAGACUCAUUGACCUCUAAUUUGAUAUAUUCUUUUUCACAUAAAUUUUAUAUUCUAUGAGAUAUGGUCAUUUAAUACUUACCUAAGUAAAAUAGUAUACCAAAACUCAACCGAUAAGGAAUCUCUGAUCUCGACUUUAUGCUAGAGGAAACUUCUGACCUUAGUUUACAUCCAAUACACUUCCCAAACAUAAGAAUUUAUCUUCAAACCUAUGUAUAAUUAGAAAUCAUCGAGUUUGUGCCGUUACACAUUCGUAGAAUAAUUCAUGUCUUCACUUAGAAAUUUUUGGGGUGUAACAUCAAAAUACGCAUAUUCCUAUUAUCACUAAUAGGCGAAGCAACUCUUUGGAUUCCUUUCUAAUUCUUUUUAAAUGAUUGAAUAAUGUUUGUGUAUGGAUAUAUUGAUGAUUUUAUAUGAUUUUAAGUUUAAUUACUCAAGAAUCCAUGGAUUGCCUAUUUUUCCAAAUUGGAUCUUAAAGUGUGGGUAUUGAUUGAUGAUUGUAGAACGUUAUAGAAUCAUGCAUAUAAUGUAUUGAUUACUAGAAUUAUGUAUUAGAGGAUUUCUUUUUCUUUUGAUGUUAGAUUUUCCCAAGAACCCAUUAAAACACCUAUAUCUCUAAUUUAUGACUAUCUUACCAGUAGAUUGUGGAGAGAUAAGUAAAAUGAGAUUAUGUUGUAAUAGUUGAGUUAUCUGAAUCAUGCUUAUUUUCAUGUUUAAUGUGUUAACCAUAGAUGUUGUUGGUUGAAUGUGAUCCUUGAUGCAAGAGGGGUAAAACAUGAGAAUUAUGCUUAAUUAUGGCUUCAUAUGUAUACUUUAUUAAUAUGAUUAUUAUUGUUGUGUUGUUGAAAGGUCAUUCUCACGUACACACUCAUGUAUGAUUAUUUGCUAUGUUACUGUGUUGAUUGAAUGUUCGUUCUCAUAAACACAUAAUGAGCAUAAUGUGAAUGUUUUUCUCACAUAUUGAAGUUUCUAGGUUGAAAGUCAGUUCUCAACAUUUAAAUCUAACAUGAAAACAUGGAUUGUAAAAGUUUAUUCACGCGUAAUCUAAUGAGCUAUCCUAAUAAAAUAAGUUAGGAUUCAAUAAAUACUUCAUGGGAAUUAUACUUAGCACCCACAAGAUAUUUAAAAUGAAAUAGAGUCUCUCCCGUUACGAAAGUCUGGGUUUAUAAAGUUAAUCUAAAUGAGAUGGAAGCUCCCCAUUAAGUAUGUUUGGAGUUUCUAGAAGCAAUCUUCUAUCCCAUAAACUAUGUGCCCCUUUAGAUUAUUUAUCUAUUGGAUCGACCUAAAAUCUAAUAUAUAUUUUGGUUUUGCCUUAGGCAAGUAGGACAUCUCUUUUUGGUGUGGGCAUGACACCAGAUUCCAUGGAAUCUCACAUAGUCUAUGUCGGUAAAGGCUAAUUCCCACAAGGUCAAGUCUAGGAAGAACUAUGGCUACUCAAGAGGCCUUGAUUAUCAUGGAUAAGAGUGUGGACUCUUAUUCAUGCAUUACACACAUAAGCUUUGAGGUUAAUUAUUGUAGGGAUCCUCUUUUGUUAUGAUGACUCAUGUAAUGAAUGUUAUCUUGAUUAAAUGGCAAUUACAUUUGACUCGGAUAUGAAGGAUUGAGCCUUCAUGGAUCGAAGAGUACACAAGGAGAGGAAAUGGAUUCCAAAUGGACCCAAGAGGAGUUUCACAUGAAAAGAACAACAUGAACAAAAAUUAGCACCUACUCACAAUGAUAAGACAAACAAAAAUAACCGCGAGAAACUUGAUUGAAGCUAAACUCAAACGAAACUCAAUCAACAGUAACCGAUAAGAAUGAUAUUUAAAACUUUCUCAAAGGGCAUAGAAAUCAUGUAAACACAAUUUCAACAAAAGCCAAGCUAAAAAAAACAUUUACUACCUCAUUAUUAAGAUGAUAAAAAUGUAAUGAUAUCAAAAGUGAACCACUACAAGUGCUUUAGAGUUAGAAGAUAUUUUUCAUUUCAUUCUGACCUUUCUCAAAGAGGCAUACAUUUAAUAAACAAAAGAAUUUGGAAAUGUAAGCCAUGAUUUUUCUUAUUAUUUUUUUUUUAAAAAAAAGGACUUUGCCAGCAUAAGUUGUUGGAGCUGAAGGAAGGAAAAAUAGUUUAUGAUUGACAGAUACACUUAAGAACAAAACACCACCAUUAUAUCAUGGAAGAUUUCAACUCAAACCAAAUAAGAAAAAAUUUUGACUAAAUGAUCACAUCCAAACCCUAUUUCUUGAACUCUCACUAGGACAAAGGCAUCACAUUAAAUCGAACUUACGAGAGGGUGAGGGGAGAAUACAAACUCCAAUCAAUGAAGCAAAGACGUACUCAUAUAGAAACAAGUUAUUUGAAUAUAACACUAGAAAUUUAAAAAAAUAAAAUCAGAAUAGAAUAAAUAACUAUGUCUAGAGAUAGCAAGGUAGAAAGUUAAACAAACCAUUUACCCGAAAUUGCAAGUUAAGCUAACAUACAUUCUGAUGGCAAAGGAGAAAUGACAACGGAGAUUAUAAGCAACAACUAGAAAUGGUGUAUAUAUGUUCUAUCAUGUUUCUAAGAAAAAGCUCACUAAGGAAGUAUGAUAUGCAAACUAUACAACAUUAAGAGUAACAGAGGGAACAAACUUUAAAUACAAAGAUACCCACAAAAAUAUCUUGGACACAAUUUAGAGGAGGGAAAGGAUAGUCACAUGAACCGCAUUAAUCUGUGAACAAACAAUUCUUUCAAACUACCUCACGAGCAAACAAAUAAAAAAAGGAAUCCAAAUUUGCGAGCUAAUGAAAACAAUCCGAACAAAAAAAAAAUCAGCAGGUGAGGCGCUUUGAAAGAGAGCCAACUAUUACAACAGAACAAUAUACGCCUCCAUGUUGGAUGGUUCCAAAUCGCUAAAGAAACACUGAUAUGUAGUCAUCAUUAUGUCAAGAAUCUAACAGCCAGCAGCAACAAACACAUUUCCAGGACAUUGAAGAGGACACCCUUUCAAAAACAUAUAAGAGGAGAAAGUCAUACAAAAGGGGAGUUGUUACCUGCUUAUGUGCAGUGAACAGUGACGACGAACUUCGAAGUGACUUCUACCCCACGAGCACAGGGCCGAACAGCAGCAAGAGACCCAAAUGAAUUUUCGAAUCUUGACAAAAAAAUAAUGGGGAGGAACACCAGCAACAAAAGAACAGAAGAGCUGGCCGAAAUCGACUAUUUCCCCUGUUUAAAAAGUAUUUUUAGUGCCCAUUUCUAUUACUCUGCUUAAGGUAAUUUUUUUGUCUAUUUUCCGCUCAAGAAUAAUUCUCUUCCAAAAAAAUUCCUUUAACAGUGAAUCACAAGUGAUUAUAUAUGGGGGAAAAAUUAGGGUUCUAUUGGAGGGAAACGGGCACAAGCGGAUAGGAACGUGGACCACUUUCCUUUUGAAUUCCCAAAAAACUUUCAUCAAUUUGGAUAAACAUCUUUUCUGAGGCUUCAAGACAUUCCCAAAACUGGAAAGGAGGAUGGACGGUUUGAUGAUUUCGAUAGUCCUUGGGGUGAGACGUGGCUUGAUCUCACGAUCCCAAGGACGGAAACACGUGUUCUUCUCAACUGAGGACUGUACUGGUCUGAGGGGAAUGAGGAAGAAGACGACAAAAGGGCAGGUAUUCCUCUUUUUUUCCGUCUAGCCGCGUCCUUUAAGGAUGUUGAACGUGAUUUUUGUCUACUCGCCCUCGCGUGGGAAGGAACAAGGCGCAUAUGGAGCAUAUAUGUGCCGUUCACGUAUCAAUGUCGUUGCUACGCCGUGAAAAAUGUCGUUGUUACAUUAGAGAGGAAAACUAAAAUAAGGGUGGGUCGGGUCGACAAAAUUGGAGUGGGCUAGGAGUUGGUAUUGAUGAAAUGGGAUUUGGGUUGGGUAUUUCUGAUGGGUCGGCUGAUGGUAUUGUCUAAUUGAAAUGUUGGAUGGGUUGGCCGCUGUGAAUUGAGAAGAAGCCCAAGUUCAGAUAGAGCAAAAUUGAAG
RNAcentral lists this long non-coding RNA (38937 nucleotides) under Solanum lycopersicum (tomato). RNAcentral's name for it is "long non-coding RNA (SLYC_LNC000764)". The record is from RNAcentral. Lineage: Eukaryota; Viridiplantae; Streptophyta; Magnoliopsida; Solanales; Solanaceae.